UCCUGUUUGACACAGGCAGUUUCCUUAGAGUCCCCAACUAAAUGAUGGUAACUAAGGAUGAGGGUUGCGCUCGUUGCGGGACUUAACCCAACAUCUCACGACACGAGCUGACGACAGCCAUGCAGCACCUGUCACUAUUCCGGCCGAACCGAAGCUUACGUUACAUAAGCGGCGAAUAGGAUGUCAAGAGCUGGUAAGGUUCUUCGCGUUGCCUCGAAUUAAACCACAUGCUCCACCGCUUGUGCGGGUCCCCGUCAAUUCCUUUGAGUUUUAAUCUUGCGACCGUACUCCCCAGGCGGGAUGCUUAACGCGUUAGCUACGAUACCGAAACUUACGUCCCGACAUCUAGCAUCCAUCGUUUAGGGCGUGGACUAC
This 375-nucleotide unclassified non-coding RNA is filed under the name uncultured Rickettsiales bacterium. Its description in RNAcentral is "contains 16S-23S intergenic spacer region". Lineage: Bacteria; Pseudomonadati; Pseudomonadota; Alphaproteobacteria; Rickettsiales. The record is from RNAcentral.